UACGUAGGGGGCAAGCGUUGUCCGGAAUCAUUGGGCGUAAAGAGCGCGUAGGCGGUCCGGUAAGUCCGCUCUGAAAGUCCGGGGCUCAACCCCGGGAGGCGGGCGGAUACUGUCGGGCUAGAGUCCGGAAGAGGCGAGUGGAAUUCCUGGUGUAGUGGUGAAAUGCGUAGAGAUCGGCAGGAACACCCAGGGGGAAACCAGUCGACUGGGCAUCUACUGACGCUGAGGUGCGAGAGCGUGGGGAGCGAACCGG
This 253-nucleotide ribosomal RNA is filed under the name uncultured bacterium. RNAcentral's name for it is "partial 16S ribosomal RNA". It matches the Rfam family "Bacterial small subunit ribosomal RNA", at positions 524 to 776 of the family's 1533-position model. The record is from RNAcentral.